Molecule: transfer RNA, 88 nt
Filed under: Xylaria intraflava
Lineage: Eukaryota; Fungi; Ascomycota; Sordariomycetes; Xylariales; Xylariaceae
Description: tRNA-Trp
Rfam family: tRNA
About the family: Transfer RNA (tRNA) molecules are approximately 80 nucleotides in length. Their secondary structure includes four short double-helical elements and three loops (D, anti-codon, and T loops).
Source: RNAcentral
GGACCCGUAGCUCAGCGGUAGAGCAUCUGAUUCCAGCGCGUUGGAAACAGCAUCCAGAAGGUCAUCCGUUCAAAUCGGGUCGGGUUCA